Brassica napus (rape) is the source of this 1522-nucleotide long non-coding RNA. RefSeq lists it as uncharacterized. The record is from RefSeq and is a predicted model, not a curated record. NCBI's taxonomy places the organism in Eukaryota, Viridiplantae, Streptophyta, Magnoliopsida, Brassicales, Brassicaceae. The transcript is spliced from 3 exons.
AUGCGCAUGAAACAUGCAUUUUAUACUCUCACACUCUUUGCAUUGUCAAUUUGGUGAUUUAUAUCAACAAAAUGCGUUUUAGCGAGUUUAAAUCCGAAUGAUACAACACAUCAACAAGACUAGUGAAACCCAGCAUGCUAGAUGGCAGAUGCUUUGUCACAUAUCUACCUUGUUUGAUUACAUUACAUAAAUAUGUAUGUAGAAAAUUAAUUAUGCCCUUGGUUUUAUGAGGAGUAUCAUUUUGGCAUUUUCACACAAAUUAAAAAAAAAAAGAUUAAUAAUUACAUCUAUUUAACUAGUAGUUUUUGAGAUAAAUAAAAUCACUUAUAAGAUCACAGCAUUAUACAACUAAUUUUAAUCUUAAAAUAGGUACAAAUUGCAUUUGAAUUAUAAGUGAUAUUCCUUUGUAACAAAAAUAUGGUCAAGAUAAUUUUCUUUAUGAAAGAUAAAGACUAUUUCAUAAUUAUGGUGACUUUAUAAUAAGAAUUGAGAAUAAAAAUGUGAAGUUGAGGAUAAAAGUUGUUUCAUAAUUAAAAUGGUUAAGUAGCUAUUUGAUGUUUAGCGAUCAAAUAGGUACUUAAAUCACCAUUAUUUAUCCCAUGCUUAAGGAACACUAUAACAUGUUUCUUGUUGAUUAAAAGCAAGCGUCUAAUCUUAUAUGUUUCUCGAAACUUUAAAUGUAGAACAUGUUAACGUGAAUAUGUGAUGCAAAGACAAAUGCUUGAUUUUGGGAUCUUGUACCUUUGUUAUGUAUUGUAUACAUUCAUUUCCUUUUAGAUUUUAUUUUAUAAGCUUUAUCAAAGAUUGUAUAUGAAUUAUGAAGUAGAUAGUUAGUUGGAAGGUUGUUUAUCUUUGUGCUAGAUAUUCGUGGCAGUAAUAACUAAAGCUGUUAUGUUUCAGAUCCUACAUUAAUGUAUUAGCAUGUGCCACAUUCAUGCAAGACUACAUAAGUUUUGGGGAUCUAGUAAUAUCAGAAGCUAAAUUAAUGUAUUAGCAUGUAUCACAUUCAUGCAAUACUACAUAAAUAUAUCAAAAUUGUUCAGUUUAAUAGUGCUAUAUAAAUAGAUGGCAUAAACACGCUGCCAAUUAAGUUAAAUUCACAUUGUUCUUUAUCAUUUCUAUUCAAAUUUCAAACUUUCAAAGUUCUCAAAAAUGGAAGAAGUGAGAUUCCAGUUUAAUUCUGAUUGUCAAAAAGCCAGGAAGAAAGCUCUAGAUUAUAUCUUUGAUUACAAAGGAGUUAAAUCUGUAGAAUUAGAAAACAGCAUACUUAUCGUGCAAGGAGAAGGACUAAAUGAGGAAGAAAUGAAGAGAAAGAUGGAUAAGAUUCUUCUUUCACCCAAAACGGGAUUUCUAUCGUGUUUAACUCCUAAAAAAUGAUAUGAUCUUCGUCUUUUAAAAUAAAUAUUUGAAUUUAAAUUAUAAUCUUCUUAUUUAUGGCUUCAUGUUCUAUAAAAGUCCAAGUUGUUUUAGUCUACUAGUAUAAUAUUUCUGUAUACUAAUUUUCUUAUUUAACAUUAUAUAA